Molecule: transfer RNA, 69 nt
Filed under: Marmota monax (woodchuck)
Lineage: Eukaryota; Metazoa; Chordata; Mammalia; Rodentia; Sciuridae
Description: tRNA.Ala
Source: RNAcentral
GGAAUGUGGCUCAAGUGGUAGUGCACUUGCCUAGCAUGCAUGGGGCACUGGGUUUGAUUCUCAGCACCA